GAUGAACGCUGGCGGCGUGCCUAAUACAUGCAAGUCGAGCGAACAGACGAGGAGCUUGCUCCUCUGACGUUAGCGGCGGACGGGUGAGUAACACGUGGAUAACCUACCUAUAAGACUGGGAUAACUUCGGGAAACCGGAGCUAAUACCGGAUAACAUGUUGAACCGCAUGGUUCAACAGUGAAAGACGGUUUUGCUGUCACUUAUAGAUGGAUCCGCGUCGCAUUAGCUAGUUGGUAAGGUAACGGCUUACCAAGGCAACGAUGCGUAGCCGACCUGAGAGGGUGAUCGGCCACACUGGAAGUGAGCCGCGGUCCAGACACCGACGGGAGGCAGCGGUAGGGAAUCUUCGGAGAUGGGCGAAAGCCUGACGGAGCAGCGCCGCGUGGGUGAAGAAGGUCUUCGGAUCGUAAAACUCUGUUAUUAGGGAAAAACAAAUGUGUAAGUAACUAUGCACGUCUUGACGGUACCUAAUCAGAAAGCAACGGCUAACUACGUG
RNAcentral lists this ribosomal RNA (497 nucleotides) under uncultured bacterium. RNAcentral describes it as "partial 16S ribosomal RNA". It matches the Rfam family "Bacterial small subunit ribosomal RNA", at positions 28 to 507 of the family's 1533-position model. The record is from RNAcentral.